CACAGUGUCACUGCUCACUGGAUAGGCUGAAGCUGCAGCGCAGUGUCACUGCUCACUGUGGAUAGGCUGAAACUGAAGCUGUAGCACAGUGUCACUGCUCACUGGACAGGCUGAAGCUGCAGCACAGUGUCACUGCUCACUGGACAGGUUGAAACUGAAGCUGUAGCACAGUGUCACUGCUCACCGUGGACAGGCUGAAACUGAAGCCGCAAAACAGUGUCACUGCUGACUGUGGACAGUUUCAGCAUUAAAGUAUUGUAAUUGAGCAGUAGGUGUUGCAUUCAGCAGUAUGUUUAUUGGAGACUAUGUGUUGAGUGCUUGUUUUGUACUGUAUGUAUAAACAGAUAUUUUGUUCAAUAGUACAGCUCUCAGUUAAACAGUACGGGUACAUUGGGUUAUAAAGCUUAAUAUUUACUAGAGUCUGUUCUUGUUUAAGCAGCAUCCAUAGCAGGCUGCUCAUGUGAUUGAGGAGCUUGUGAGAUGGGUCAAAGUUUAUUGUGCAGGUUUUCAGAGGAGCCUCGAUCUGUCGGGAGAAACACACAACAGAAUGACUGUCAUAUUCGCGAUAUUCUUCUGCCUUUUCAGUGUUUCUAAUGCUUUGUACAAGCAGUGGAUUCUUGACACUAACUUUGAAAAUGUAUCAAACUGGGACAAGGGCAGAGUUCCCUGCGCUAACGACCGUGUCUAUUUUCAACACAAUCAGAAAGCCUCUGUUUAUGUCCAGUCCACCCACUCCAUUGUAGAAAUGGUAUGUUUUGUAUCGGCCCUCGUUCCUCUCUCUCUGGUGCUGUGACUGCUCAGUUCUCCUCACUGCUCUCUUUCUCUC
This is a long non-coding RNA of Polyodon spathula (Mississippi paddlefish), 826 nucleotides long. RefSeq lists it as uncharacterized. Lineage: Eukaryota; Metazoa; Chordata; Actinopteri; Acipenseriformes; Polyodontidae. The record is from RefSeq and is a predicted model, not a curated record. The transcript has 3 exons.